GACGAACCGUGCGAACGUUGUUCGGAAUUACUGGGCGUAAAGCGCACGUAGGCGGAUCUUUAAGUCAGGGGUGAAAUCCCAAGGCUCAACCUUGGAACUGCCUUUGAUACUGGGGAUCUCGAGUCCGGAAGAGGUGAGUGGAACUGCGAGUGUAGAGGUGAAAUUCGUAGAUAUUCGCAAGAACACCAGUGGCGAAGGCGGCUCACUGGUCCGGUACUGACGCUGAGGUGCGAAAGCGUGGGGAGCAAACAGG
Molecule: ribosomal RNA, 253 nt
Filed under: uncultured bacterium
Lineage: Bacteria
Description: partial 16S ribosomal RNA
Rfam family: Bacterial small subunit ribosomal RNA
Source: RNAcentral